This 64-nucleotide transfer RNA is filed under the name Uroteuthis edulis (swordtip squid). RNAcentral describes it as "tRNA-Thr". It matches the Rfam family "tRNA". Rfam says of the family: Transfer RNA (tRNA) molecules are approximately 80 nucleotides in length. Their secondary structure includes four short double-helical elements and three loops (D, anti-codon, and T loops). The record is from RNAcentral. Lineage: Eukaryota; Metazoa; Mollusca; Cephalopoda; Myopsida; Loliginidae.
GUUAUAAUAGUUUAAAUAAAACACUGGUCUUGUAAACCAAAAUUAGAUACUUAUCUUUAUAACU